UCUUGUAACGGAAGUGGUAAUGCUGGAUGCUCCAACUUGACGCAUGUCUUGUUGGGAAAGUGUUUAGUGGCAUGGGAUGGGGUCGCGUCCUAUCAGCUUGUAGGCGGGGUAAUGGCCCACCUAGGCUUCGACGGGUAGCCGGCCUGAGAGGGCGGACGGCCACAUUGGGACUGAGAUACGGCCCAGACUCCUACGGGAGGCAGCAGC
RNAcentral lists this ribosomal RNA (207 nucleotides) under uncultured Gardnerella sp. RNAcentral's name for it is "partial 16S ribosomal RNA". It matches the Rfam family "Bacterial small subunit ribosomal RNA", at positions 148 to 355 of the family's 1533-position model. The record is from RNAcentral. Lineage: Bacteria; Bacillati; Actinomycetota; Actinomycetes; Bifidobacteriales; Bifidobacteriaceae.